AUGGAAGAAGAAAUUGAUGAAACUGCGAGCUCAUUGAAUGAAAAAGAUGAUGAGGAGAGCAAAGAACAAAAGGAGGAAGAGCGGAUUAGCUACCCAUGCCCACCUUCUAAUGAGAGUAGCUCUUCAACUCAUACAUUGUUUAAUUCCCCUUCGUGCUUACCGAAGGAUGAUUGCUAUGAUGACUAUUAUGAUCCCAUUGAUUAUCUUGAAAUAUCCCUUUUUGAUGAUGCUUGCUAUGUUUGUGGCCAAGAUGCCAAUAUGAAUGAUGCUUAUGGAGAUGAACUUGCUAUAGUUCCUUAUGUUAAACAUGAAAUUGUUGCUAUUGCACCCACGCAUGAUAGUCCUAUUAUCUUCUUGAAUUCUCCCAAUUAUACUAUAUCGGAGAAGUUUGCUCUUAUUAAGGAUUAUAUUGAUGGGUUUCCUUUUACCGUUGCACAUGAUGAUUUUGAUAGAUAUAAUAUGCAUGUGCUUGAUGCUCCUACUUGCAAUUAUUAUGAGAGAGGAACUAUAUCUCCACCUCUCUAUGUUUCCAAUGCGAUAAAAUUGCAAGAAACUGUUUAUACUAUGCAUUGGCCUUUACUUUGUGUGCAUGAAUUGUUCUUUUAUGACAUGCCAAUGCAUAGGAAGAGAGUUAGACUUCGUUAUUGCAUGAUAUAUGUUACUUUGUGCUCACUACUAAAUUAUAAAUCAUUGUUAAUUAAAAUUGGCUUUGAUAUACCUUGGGAUCCUGGUGGAUUCAUUACUUGA
This 747-nucleotide ribosomal RNA is filed under the name Triticum aestivum (bread wheat). RNAcentral describes it as "partial small subunit ribosomal RNA". The record is from RNAcentral. Lineage: Eukaryota; Viridiplantae; Streptophyta; Magnoliopsida; Poales; Poaceae.